Molecule: unclassified non-coding RNA, 1062 nt
Filed under: Hevea brasiliensis (rubber tree)
Lineage: Eukaryota; Viridiplantae; Streptophyta; Magnoliopsida; Malpighiales; Euphorbiaceae
Source: RNAcentral
UUCUAUGCUUAUGUUUCCAUGAGCUUCCUCUCAUUACAAGACAACAUUGCCUGAGAUUCUCCAAACAAGGAUAAUAUUACCAGGACAAAUGAAUGAUGGAUAUAAUGGGCACUAGCACCAUUAACAAAUGAUGCCAUGCCCUGGGUGUUCCCAUCGUAUAAUGGCAGGAAGCUCAUGGAAACAUAAGCAUAGAAUACAGAGAUGUUGCUAGUAUGGUUCAACUUUGAAAGGUGCACUCUAGAUUGUUGUCAGCUCACCGUCAACUUCCUCCGGGAUCAUUUGCGCAUAUGAACCAGUUGAGAACCCCAACUUUAGCAUGAUUUCUUCCAAACGAUUUACAUUUGUGAGGUACAAGUAGCCAACUAGUGUUUCCAGUGAAGAUGCUCUGUUAUAAACUGCUGCUCCAGCACGCUUUUUUGUCCGCGUUUUAGCUGAACCAACAUUCUUUCCCCACCGAAGAACAUCUCUUUCUUCAGCUGAUAGGCAAUUAUCGUUAAGAAGCUUCUGGAGCAAUGCAUCCUGUGCUUCACAACGUACUACUGCCAUUACACGAUCAUUGUGUUCCUCAAUACUCAAUGGAGGAAACAAAAAGUGUCUGCGAGCAUAUAGCUCAUAUAUGCUAUCACCAAUAUAUGCUAAAGUUGCUGCAUUAUAAACUGAUCGAGGCUUCUCCACUUUUGGUGGACUUGGCAUCCAUCUCUCGUAUCCUAAAUAAGUGUCCUCCAAUUUUGUCACAACCCCUUGAGCUUUAGUGUUGCGCUUGAGAAGGUUUGAUACCGAUUGGGCAGUUAAGGAGAUAGAUGGUGAAGCUAGGGGCGAUGGUGUAGGAGGGAGAGUGUUGGGUUGGGAUAAGGGUUUUUUGUUGGGAUUUCGGGGAGCAUUGGGAUUGUAUGGAAGCCUCUGUUGGGUGUCCCAUGAAGCUCUUAAUAUCAAUGAAGACAUGGCUGAUAGGGUAGCUGGCAUCUACUGAGCAACACAGCCUCUGAGAGGUUUUAGGCUCGGCUUCCGUGGUGAGGUUUUAAGUGAGAAACGGUUACGGAACUGGAGCGUAGCUGAUUUGUG